AGAUAAACACGUGAACAAAGGUCUCUGCA
RNAcentral lists this non-coding RNA (29 nucleotides) under Homo sapiens (human). The record is from RNAcentral. Lineage: Eukaryota; Metazoa; Chordata; Mammalia; Primates; Hominidae.